Molecule: ribosomal RNA, 428 nt
Filed under: uncultured bacterium
Lineage: Bacteria
Description: bacterial SSU rRNA
Rfam family: Bacterial small subunit ribosomal RNA
Source: RNAcentral
GUAGGGAAUAUUGCGCAAUGGGGGAAACCCUGACGCAGCGACGCCGCGUGAGCGAUGAAGGCCUUCGGGUCGUAAAGCUCUGUCGUAUGGGAAUAAAAAAAUGAAUGUACCAUACAAGAAAGGAUCGGCUAACUUCGUGCCAGCAGCCGCGGUAAGACGAGGGAUCCUAGCGUUGUUCGGAAUCAUUGGGCGUAAAGAGGGCGUAGGUGGCUAUUUAAGUCAGUUGUGAAAGCCUGAGGCUUAACCUCAGAAGUGCAAUUGAUACUAUUUAGCUUGAGUGUGGAAAAGGUAACUAGAAUUCCUGGUGUAGUGGUGAAAUACGUAGAUAUCAGGAGGAAUGCCGGUUGCGAAGGCGGGUUACUAGUCCAACACUGACACUGAGGCCCGAAAGCGUGGGGAUCAAACAGGAUUAGAAACCCGAGUAGUCC